AUUGAACGCUGGCGGCGUGCCUAACACAUGCAAGUCGAGCGGUAACAGGUGUAGCAAUACAUGCUGACGAGCGGCGAACGGGUGAGUAAUGCUUCGGAAUCUGCCCAUGUAGUGGGGAAUAACCAGCCGAAAGGUUGGCUAAUACCGCAUACGACCUACGGUGAAAGCAGGGGAUCGCAAGACCUUGCGCUAUUGGAUGAGCCGAAGUCGGAUUAGCAGUUGGUAGGGUAACGGCCUACCAAGGCGACGAUCCGUAGCUGGUCUGAGAGGACGACCAGCCACACUGGGACUGAGACACGGCCCAGACUCCUACGGGAGGCAGCAGUGGGGAAUAUUGGACAAUGGGGGCGAACCCUCGAUCCA
Molecule: ribosomal RNA, 363 nt
Filed under: uncultured bacterium
Lineage: Bacteria
Description: bacterial SSU rRNA
Rfam family: Bacterial small subunit ribosomal RNA
Source: RNAcentral